GAUGAAGAACGUAGCGAAAUGCGAUACGUAAUGUGAAUUGCAGAAUUCAGUGAAUCAUCGAGUCUUUGAACGCACAUUGCGCCCCCUGGUAUUCCGGGGGGCAUGCCUGUCCGAGCGUCAUUGCUGCCCUCAAGCACGGCUUGUGUGUUGGGCCUCCGUCCUCCUCCCGGGGGACGGGCCCGAAAGGCAGCGGCGGCACCGCGUCCGGUCCUCCAGCGUAUGGGGCUUCGUCACCCGCUCUUGUAGGCCCGGCCGGCGCUUGCCGACACAUCAAUCUUUUUUCCAGGUUGACCUCGGAUCAGGUAGGGAUACCCGCUGAACUUAAGCAUAUCAAUAAGCGGAGGA
RNAcentral lists this unclassified non-coding RNA (345 nucleotides) under soil metagenome. RNAcentral's name for it is "partial contains 5.8S ribosomal RNA, internal transcribed spacer 2, and large subunit ribosomal RNA". The stretch from base 1 to 120 matches the Rfam family "5.8S ribosomal RNA", at positions 35 to 154 of the family's 154-position model. The record is from RNAcentral.